This 437-nucleotide ribosomal RNA is filed under the name uncultured Oscillospiraceae bacterium. Its description in RNAcentral is "bacterial SSU rRNA". It matches the Rfam family "Bacterial small subunit ribosomal RNA", at positions 341 to 792 of the family's 1533-position model. Lineage: Bacteria; Bacillati; Bacillota; Clostridia; Eubacteriales; Oscillospiraceae. The record is from RNAcentral.
ACGGAAGGCAGCAGUGGGGAAUAUUGGUCAAUGGGGGAAACCCUGAACCAGCAACGCCGCGUGAAGGAAGAAGGCUUUCGGGUUGUAAACUUCUUUUAUCAGGGACGAAGAACGUGACGGUACCUGAUGAAUAAGCCACGGCUAACUACGUGCCAGCAGCCGCGGUAAUACGUAGGUGGCAGGCGUUAUCCGGAUUUACUGGGUGUAAAGGGCGCGUAGGCGGGGAUGCAAGUCAGGUGUGAAAUCUAUGGGCUUAACCCAUAAACUGCAUUUGAAACUGUAUCUCUUGAGUGUCGGAGAGGUAGAUGGAAUUCCUAGUGUAGCGGUGAAAUGCGUAGAUAUUAGGAGGAACACCAGUGGCGAAGGCGAUCUACUGGACGAUAACUGACGCUGAGGCGCGAAAGCGUGGGGAGCAAACAGGAUUAGAUACCCUGGUA